This 484-nucleotide ribosomal RNA is filed under the name uncultured bacterium. RNAcentral describes it as "partial 16S ribosomal RNA". It matches the Rfam family "Bacterial small subunit ribosomal RNA", at positions 35 to 507 of the family's 1533-position model. The record is from RNAcentral.
GGGGAGGGCGGGGGGCAGGCCUAACACAUGCAAGUCGAGCGGAUGAAGGGAGCUUGCUCCUGGAUUCAGCGGCGGACGGGUGAGUGAGGCCUGGGAAUCUGCCUGGUAGUGGGGGAUAACGUCCGGAAACGGGCGCUAAUACCGCAUACGUCCUGAGGGAGAAAGUGGGGGAUCUUCGGACCUCACGCUAUCAGAUGAGCCUAGGUCGGAUUAGCUAGUUGGUGGGGUAAAGGCCUACCAAGGCGACGAUCCGUAACUGGUCUGAGAGGAUGAUCAGUCACACUGGAACUGAGACACGGUCCAGACUCCUAAGGGAGGCAGCAGUGGGGAAUAUUGGACAAUGGGCGAAAGCCUGAUCCAGCCAUGCCGCGUGUGUGAAGAAGGUCUUCGGAUUGUAAAGCACUUUAAGUUGGGAGGAAGGGCAGUAAGUUAAUACCUUGCUGUUUUGACGUUACCAACAGAAUAAGCACCGGCUAACUUCGUG